GUACCAAGACUAUGAUGUGUAGCUGGACUGAGAGGUUGAACAGCCACAUUGGGACUGAGACACGGCCCAAACUCCUACGGGAGGCAGCAGUAGGGAAUUUUCGGCAAUGGAGGAAACUCUGACCGAGCAACGCCGCGUGAACGAUGAAGUAUUUCGGUAUGUAAAGUUCUUUUAUUGAAGAAGAAAAAAUAGUGGAAAAACUAUCUUGACGAUAUUCAAUGAAUAAGCCCCGGCAAACUAUGUGCCAGCAGCCGCGGUAAUACAUAGGGGGCGAGCGUUAUCCGGAAUUAUUGGGCGUAAAGGGUGCGUAGGCGGUUUAAUAAGUCUAUAGUUUAAUUUCAGUGCUUAACACUGUCCUGCUAUAGAAACUAUUAGACUAGAGUGAGAUAGAGGCAAGUGGAAUUCCAUGUGUAGCGGUAAAAUGCGUAAAUAUAUGGAGGAACACCAGAGGCGUAGGCGGCUUGCUGGGUCUUUACUGACGCUGAGGCACGAAAGCGUGGGGAGCAAACAGGAUUAGAUACCCUGGUAGUCCACGCCGUAAACGAUGAGUACUAAGUGUCGGGAUUACUCGGUACUGAAGUUAACACAUUAAGUACUCCGCCUGAGUAGUACGUACGCAAGUAUGAAACUUAAAGGAAUUGACGGGACUCCGCACAAGCGGUGGAUCAUGUUGUUUAAUUCGAAGAUACACGAAAAACCUUACCAGGUCUUGACAUACUCUGCAAAGCUAUAGCAAUAUAGUGGAGGUUAUCAGGGAUACAGGUGGUGCAUGGUUGUCGUCAGCUCGUGUCGUGAGAUGUUAGGUUAAGUCCUAAAACGAGCGCAACCCUUGUCAUUAGUUGCCAGCAUGUCAUGAUGGGCACUUUAAUGAGACUGCCAAUGAAAAAUUGGAGGAAGGUGAGGAUCACGUCAAAUCAUCAUGCCCCUUAUGAUCUGGGCUACAAACGUGAUACAAUGGCUGUUACAAAGAGUAGCUGAAACGCAAGUUUAUAGCCAAUCUCAUAAAAGCAGUCUCAGUUCGGAUUGAAGUCUGCAAC
RNAcentral lists this ribosomal RNA (1037 nucleotides) under uncultured bacterium. RNAcentral's name for it is "bacterial SSU rRNA". It matches the Rfam family "Bacterial small subunit ribosomal RNA", at positions 265 to 1311 of the family's 1533-position model. The record is from RNAcentral.